RNAcentral lists this ribosomal RNA (497 nucleotides) under uncultured bacterium. Its description in RNAcentral is "partial 16S ribosomal RNA". It matches the Rfam family "Bacterial small subunit ribosomal RNA", at positions 28 to 507 of the family's 1533-position model. The record is from RNAcentral.
GAUGAACGCUGGCGGCGUGCCUAAUACAUGCAAGUCGAGCGAACAGACGCGGCGCUUGCUCCUCUGACGUUAGCGGCGGACGGGUGUGUCACACGUGGAUACCCUCCCUAUCAGACUGGGAUAACUUCGGGAAACCGGCGCUAAUACCGGAUAAUCUCUUGAACCGCAUGGUUCAAUAGUGAAAGACGGUUUUGCUGUCUCUUAUAGAUGGAUCCGCGCCGCAUUAGCUAGUUGGUAAGGUAACGGGUUACCAAGGCAACGAUGCGUAGCCGACGGGAGAGGGUGAUCGCCGACACUGGAACUGAGACACGGACCAGACUCCUACGGGAGGCAGCAGUAGGGAAUCUUCCGCAAUGGGCGAAAGCCUGACGGAGCAACGCCGCGUGAGUGAUGAAGGUCUUCGGAUCGUAAAACUCUGUUAUUAGGGAAGAACAAAUGUGUAAGUAACUAUGCACGUCUUGACGGUACCUAAUCAGAAAGCCACGGCUAACUACGUG